GAUGAAGAACGUAGCGAAAUGCGAUAAGUAAUGUGAAUUGCAGAAUUCAGUGAAUCAUCGAAUCUUUGAACGCACCUUGCGCUCCUUGGUAUUCCUUGGAGCAUGCCUGUCCGAGCGUCAUUGCUGCCCUCAAGCACGGCUUGUGUGUUGGGCCUCCGUCCUCCUCCCGGGGGACGGGCCCGAAAGGCAGCGGCGGCACCGCGUCCGGUCCUCGAGCGUAUGGGGCUUCGUCACCCGCUCUUGUAGGCCCGGCCGGCGCUUGCCGACACAUCAAUCUUUUUUCCAGGUUGACCUCGGAUCAGGUAGGGAUACCCGCUGAACUUAAGCAUAUCAAAAGCGGAGGA
RNAcentral lists this unclassified non-coding RNA (344 nucleotides) under soil metagenome. RNAcentral's name for it is "partial contains 5.8S ribosomal RNA, internal transcribed spacer 2, and large subunit ribosomal RNA". The stretch from base 1 to 120 matches the Rfam family "5.8S ribosomal RNA", at positions 35 to 154 of the family's 154-position model. The record is from RNAcentral.